AUUGAACGCUGGCGGAAUGCUUUACACAUGCAAGUCGAACGGUAGAGGGGGCAACCCCUCGAGAGUGGCGAGCGGGUGAGUAAUAUAUCGGAACGUGCCCAGUCGUGGGGGAUAACGUAGCGAAAGUUACGCUAAUACCGCAUACGAUCUAGGGAUGAAAGCGGGGAAUCGCAAGACCUCGCGCGAUUGGAGCGGCCGAUAUCAGAUUAGGUAGUUGGUGGGGUAAAGGCUCACCAAGCAAACGAUCUGUAGCUGGUCUGAGAGGACGACCAGCCACACUGGAACUGAGACACGGUCCAGACUCCUACGGGAGGCAGCAGUGGGGAAUUUUGGACAAUGGACGCAAGUCUGAUCCAGCCAUUCCGCGUGCAGGAAGAAGGCCCUCGGGUUGUAAACUGCUUUUGUACGGAACGAAAAGGUCUCUCUUAAUACGGGGGACUCAUGACGGUACCGUAAGAAUAAGCACCGGCUAACUACGUGCCAGCCGCCGCAGUAA
Molecule: ribosomal RNA, 496 nt
Filed under: uncultured bacterium
Lineage: Bacteria
Description: partial 16S ribosomal RNA
Rfam family: Bacterial small subunit ribosomal RNA
Source: RNAcentral